Molecule: ribosomal RNA, 253 nt
Filed under: uncultured bacterium
Lineage: Bacteria
Description: partial 16S ribosomal RNA
Rfam family: Bacterial small subunit ribosomal RNA
Source: RNAcentral
UACGAAGGGGGCUAGCGUUGCUCGGAAUCACUGGGCGUAAAGGGUGCGUAGGCGGGUCUUUAAGUCAGGGGUGAAAUCCUGGAGCUCAACUCCAGAACUGCCUUUGAUACUGAAGAUCUUGAGUUCGGGAGAGGUGAGUGGAACUGCGAGUGUAGAGGUGAAAUCCGUAGAUAUUCGCAAGAACACCAGUGGCGAAGGCGGCUCACUGGCCCGAUACUGACGCUGAUGCACGAAAGCGUGGGGAGCAAACAGG